Ceratotherium simum simum (southern white rhinoceros) is the source of this 92-nucleotide non-coding RNA. NCBI's taxonomy places the organism in Eukaryota, Metazoa, Chordata, Mammalia, Perissodactyla, Rhinocerotidae. The record is from RefSeq and is a predicted model, not a curated record.
AGAACCAAGAACUAAGCGUGGUGCUGCUGACUUACACGCCUGAACCUUCACAGUUCUUUACAUUCUUCCAGGAGUAGCAGAAAAUGAACAUA